GUGCAUAAAAAUAUAUUAUGUUUGUGUAGCAGGCUAAUCAAUGUUAUUAGAGAAACACAGUUAAAUGAUCCUUUUCAAUUUGCUGACAACUCACAGCCACUAAAUCCAGUUUCGACUACUUUUAAUACACUGUGCUGUGGGAUUGGGAAUCCCUCACUGAUAAGGUGUUCUGACAUGUUCGCUUAGCUCCUCGCCGCCAGCCGUGUGGCCAACUCCGCUGGGGG
Molecule: long non-coding RNA, 224 nt
Organism: Drosophila gunungcola (fruit fly)
Lineage: Eukaryota; Metazoa; Arthropoda; Insecta; Diptera; Drosophilidae
Exons: 3
Source: RefSeq, a predicted model, not a curated record